Long non-coding RNA from Gasterosteus aculeatus aculeatus (three-spined stickleback), 383 nucleotides. The record is from Ensembl. NCBI's taxonomy places the organism in Eukaryota, Metazoa, Chordata, Actinopteri, Perciformes, Gasterosteidae.
CGUGUGCGCGCGCUCGGGUGCCAGAUCAGGUGCGCCGAGGUGAGGCGGCGCGCAGCGCUCGGCUGUUUCCGUCGCGUCCCGUCGGUGAGCCUCGGUGAGCCUCGGUGGAUGGGGGAAUGCGGUGGCCGCUGGCAGCGGGCAUAGCUGGACACUCGGCGGAGAUGUGCGCACGGAAACAGGAGCCCUCGGCGGAGAGCCCGGAAUGAGGGAGCAGCCAGGGAGGAUUCCCCACGCAUUGCAGGCAGCUGUGAAAGGGGAUGGUGAAACGAAAAGCCUCUGACCCUCAGCAGCACCCUUCUGCCUGCUGCCCCACAUCGUAGCGACGAUAACCAUCGAGGUAAUGGCCAAAUACACCAACGCACGGUUUUAGUUAUUUGUCACCA